CCUACGGGAGGCAGCAGUGGGGGAUAUUGGACAAUGGGGGGAACCCUGAUCCAGCGACGCCGCGUGAGUGAAGAAGUAUUUCGGUAUGUAAAGCUCUGUCAGCAGGGAAGAAAGAAAUGACGGUACCUGACCAAGAAGCCCCGGCUAACUACGUGCCAGCAGCCGCGGUAAUACGUAGGGGGCAAGCGUUAUCCGGAAUUACUGGGUGGAAAGGGAGCGUAGACGGUUAAGUAAGUCUGGAGUGAAAGGCCGGGGCCCAACCCCGGGACUGCUCUGGAAACUAUUGAACUUGAGUGCAGGGGAGGUAAGCGGAAUUCCUAGUGUAGCGGUGGAAUGCGUAGAUAUUAGGAGGAACACCAGUGGCGAAGGCGGCUUACUGGACUGUAACUGACGUUGAGGCUCGAAAGCGUGGGGAGCAAACAGGAUUAGAUACCCGGGUAGUC
Molecule: ribosomal RNA, 443 nt
Filed under: uncultured bacterium
Lineage: Bacteria
Description: partial 16S ribosomal RNA
Rfam family: Bacterial small subunit ribosomal RNA
Source: RNAcentral